Molecule: non-coding RNA, 23 nt
Filed under: Cricetulus griseus (Chinese hamster)
Lineage: Eukaryota; Metazoa; Chordata; Mammalia; Rodentia; Cricetidae
Source: RNAcentral
ACCAGGCUCUCAGCACUAUAGGC